AACAGAACGCAGAGGGACUGCAUUGCAGUUGAGAAGGUUAAAACCUGACUCUUUGAACCUGUCAGUUAAUACUGUCGUAGGGAGCGGAAGAUAUGUGUAU
Molecule: regulatory RNA element, 100 nt
Organism: Lachnospiraceae bacterium A2
Lineage: Bacteria; Bacillati; Bacillota; Clostridia; Lachnospirales; Lachnospiraceae
Rfam family: TPP riboswitch aptamer (THI element)
About the family: Vitamin B(1) in its active form thiamin pyrophosphate (TPP) is an essential coenzyme that is synthesised by coupling of pyrimidine and thiazole moieties in bacteria.
Source: Rfam